GACGAACGCUGGCGGCGUGCUUAACACAUGCAAGUCGAACGGAAAGGCCUUUUUCGUGUGGUAUUCUAGUGUCGAACGGGUGAGUAUCACAUGAGUAUCCCGCCCUCUACUUUUGGGUAACUUUAGAGAACUGUGGCUAUUAUCCGAUAGCAGCUCCUGCGUCACGUGGGGGGUUGUGAAGUUUCUGCGGUGGUGGGGAUGGUCUCGCGGUGUAUCAGCUUGUUGGGGGGGUAGUGGGUUCCCGACGCUUUCGUGGGUCGCCGGGCUGAGAGGGUGCCCGGCCACAUUGGGACCGAGGUGCGGCCCAAGCUCCUACGGGAGGCAGCAGGGGGGAAUAUUGCACAAUGGGUGGAAGGCUGGUGCAGCAACGCCGGGUGCGGGAAGGCGGGCUUCGGGUUGUAAAACGGUUUCGGUCAGGAAGAAGGUUUGUGUGACGGUAGUGGGUAAAGAAGCACCGGCUAACUACGUG
This 469-nucleotide ribosomal RNA is filed under the name uncultured bacterium. Its description in RNAcentral is "partial 16S ribosomal RNA". It matches the Rfam family "Bacterial small subunit ribosomal RNA", at positions 28 to 507 of the family's 1533-position model. The record is from RNAcentral.